CGCUGGCNGCAGGCUUAACACAUGCAAGUCGAACGGUAGCAGGUAAGUACUUGUACUUAUGCUGACGAGUGGCGGACGGGUGAGUAAUGCUUGGGGAUCUGGCUUAUGGAGGGGGAUAACGACGGGAAACUGUCGCUAAUACCGCGUAGAAUCGGGAGAUGAAAGUGUGGGACCUUCGGGCCACAUGCCAUAGGAUGAGCCCAAGUGGGAUUAGGUAGUUGGUGGGGUAAUGGCCUACCAAGCCGACGAUCUCUAGCUGGUCUGAGAGGAUGACCAGCCACACCGGGACUGAGACACGGCCCGGACUCCUACGGGAGGCAGCAGUGGGGAAUAUUGCGCAAUGGGGGCAACCCUGACGCAGCCAUGCCGCGUGAAUGAAGAAGGCCUUCGGGUUGUAAAGUUCUUUCGGUGACGAGGAAGGUUGUUGUGUUAAUAGCGCAACAAAUUGACGUUAAUCACAGAAGAAGCACCG
RNAcentral lists this ribosomal RNA (472 nucleotides) under Aggregatibacter aphrophilus. RNAcentral describes it as "bacterial SSU rRNA". It matches the Rfam family "Bacterial small subunit ribosomal RNA", at positions 34 to 495 of the family's 1533-position model. Lineage: Bacteria; Pseudomonadati; Pseudomonadota; Gammaproteobacteria; Pasteurellales; Pasteurellaceae. The record is from RNAcentral.